Long non-coding RNA from Lemur catta (Ring-tailed lemur), 416 nucleotides. RefSeq lists it as uncharacterized. Lineage: Eukaryota; Metazoa; Chordata; Mammalia; Primates; Lemuridae. The record is from RefSeq and is a predicted model, not a curated record. The transcript has 4 exons.
CACGCAUGCUCUUCACUGCCGAGCGGGCUGAGGCCGCAGGAGCUGACCAGGAGCUGGGAGCAGUUGACAGCCAUCAGCACGUGUCCCGUGAUUACGAGUACCCCACCCUGCUGCUGAGACGUGCAGAAGUUGAGGAACUCAGUGGCCCUGACAGAGCCCUGCAGGCAGCACCAUGGUGCUCCAGGGCCCAGGCCUGGGUGUGGACCUUCAGCCCCCGGAUUCUGCAGAGAGUCCCCAGCAGCAAGAAGGCCGUCAUCAGAUGUGGUCCCUAGAUCUUGGACUUCUGAACCUCCAGAACUGCUCAUACCUGGAAGGAAUUUGCCUCAAGGAGAAUCGUGCCUUCAGUGCCACUCAUACCUGCUUUAAAUGAUAUUUGAAGCUUUGGGCCUGUGAUUUGAUGCUGGAACAAGGUAAGA